This 253-nucleotide ribosomal RNA is filed under the name uncultured bacterium. Its description in RNAcentral is "partial 16S ribosomal RNA". It matches the Rfam family "Bacterial small subunit ribosomal RNA", at positions 524 to 776 of the family's 1533-position model. The record is from RNAcentral.
UACGAACCGUCCAAACGUUAUUCGGAUUUAUUGGGCUUAAAGGGCGCGUAGGCGGGCGGCCGCGUCCGGGGUGAAAUACCACGGCUCAACCGUGGAACGGCCUCGGAUACGGGCGGCCUCGAGGGAGGUAGGGGCAUCGGGAACUGUGAGUGGAGCGGUGAAAUGCGUUGAUAUUCACAGGAACUCCGGUGGCGAAGGCGCGGUGCUGGACCUCAUCUGACGCUGAGGCGCGAAAGCCAGGGGAGCGAACGGG